GCUUCCCCUCAGCUGCCCAGGGCUGUACUUAAAGGAGAAGGCUGCUCCUGUGGGGGACAGUGGGCUUGGGACAGAGAUGUCCAGUCUCUCCGUCCUCCCCCAGGCUAUCAGCAAUUGAAGGCGUACAUCUGGCGAUGGUGGGAUGCACAAAUGAACGGGCUUGGCAGACUGCCAGCGUCUGAGAGCAGCCCCCGGUCCUGCAGACUAUUAGAAGGGCAGAUCUGCAGGUCUGACAGGAGGAGGGGGAGCAGAGGAAGGCCAGGGCAUUCCACACAGCGCCUCAGCAGAGGGAGGCAGGGCAGCAUGGGAAAGCUGGCGUCCUGAUGUAAUAAUUUGCUCGGAAGCAAAGCCUUUACUGUCCCUUAGUCCAACCUGUAUCUGAGACUGAGGACAGCAGGCAGGCUGGCCGGCUUCUAUCUAGUGCCUGUCAAGGUAGGCGGGCUGCGGAUGGGGACACCCAGUGAUCCUGGUAUCCCCUCUUCCAGCUGCUAUUCUAGAACUUUCUACUGCCUCUCUGAGGGUCUCAGACACCGCCACACACUCUCACAGUGGGUCAGGCUCCCCACUCACACACGCCUUCAGAUAUAUAGAUGCUGCCAAGAAGGAAGAAAAGCCACUGGGAUUAGGAUUCUCUCAGAACCCAAACGUUCUACAGAGCCAGACUGUCCCCUCAUCAAGCCUCACUUAGGAGAACUUGGGUCCUACCUAGCCAGCUGCCCAGGGCUGGAGGCCUUCCUUGAGAAGCCACCUUCACCUUUUACAAGGACUUGCUUUGCUCCUAAAUCAUUCCACAUUUAGAGAGCACAGUUCUAGGCGCUCUGUGGCUAUGGUGACCAGAAGACAAGUGUACAAUUAAUGAAGACUCAAGUCAGCACCUGGGCCCAGACAAGGGUGAUGACAGAGAGGGGAGUGACGUCGGGGAGGGGGCUGAAAGAGAGCAGAUGGGGCAGGUAGUGUUCAUCUUUAGUCCCAGCACUUUGGGGUGGGAAGAGGCAGAUCUCUGUGAGUUCCAGCCCAGCCUGGUCCACAUCAAAUUUCAGGCCAGGUAUAUAGAGGGGUUUAUAUACCUGAAUAUAUAUAUUCAGACCCAUAGGCAGGACAGCAAACUGCCUAUGGGUCUGGCGACAGAAGCAUAGUGGUCAGUUGGGGUUUGCUUGGCUGUCGGGGCUCUUGCUGGGAUGAGAUGGUGCCUCUGGGAGUCUGAAGCUCUUUGCCUUCUCAGAAACCCUCUGCUCUCCUCUGCAGUGCCCAGCAUGCCAGUCUUAAUCCUAACCAGGGUAAUAAGCAUAGCACAGGAUAGCCCACUCCAUCUGCUCUAGUUCAUAGGAACCAAGAGUUUUUCAAGUCCAGGGUGUGGACAGAAGAGGCCGGAGGUCAGGGAGCUUCCCUGAGCAACUGCAGUCUGCUGACCCGGGGGCUGCAGCGUUCAUAGAGAAGGUCUUUGUUUAUCCCAGGUCCCUGAAUAUCCUGCAUGCCAGGGAUAACAACUGAGCUUGCAAGCAGCUCCCAGGUUGGACCCAGAAGCAGUACUGACAAAACCAAUGAACCUCAACGUCUGGGUGGCUGUGCUGCUGUUCUAGAAAAAUAAACAUAAAAGGUUUCCACCA
Long non-coding RNA from Arvicanthis niloticus (Nile rat), 1607 nucleotides. RefSeq lists it as uncharacterized. Lineage: Eukaryota; Metazoa; Chordata; Mammalia; Rodentia; Muridae. The record is from RefSeq and is a predicted model, not a curated record.